AUGAUUUCAUUAUAGUGUCCCAGAACUAUGAUAUUUUAGAUAAGUUAAUUCUAGAUGUUAACAAAUUUCUAAAAAUAAGAGGUUUAGAAUUAAAUAUGGAAAAAAGUAAAAUCACUAAAAUUGAAAAUGGAUUUGAUUUUGUAGGUUUCCACUUUAGGGAAUUCUCGGAUUCUACUCGAGAAAUCGGGGAAAAGAAAGGGAUUUUUCUAUACAAACCUACAAAAGAAAGCUUACAAAAAGUAAAAGCUAAAAUAAAACUUUGUGUCAAAGAACAUUCGCAACUUCCUCUGUGAAUGCUUUUCUCAAAACUAAAUCCAAUAUUAAGGGGCUGAGCAAAUUAUUACUCGUCUAGUACUGCAAAGUUAGCUUAUACCCGAAUAAGUAAAUACGUUUUUGAUUCCAUUCAUCGCAUGAUAAAAAUUAAGCAUCCAAAGCUUAAUGCUAAAGCGCUUAAAUCCAAAUUUUAUCACAAAGUGAAUAAUAGAGAUUGAUUAAUGUCUACUAGCACUGAAUUUAAAAGAUUUAAGAAAAUUAAUUUGUUUCAAAUAUCCGACACUCCUAUUAAAAGAACUACUAUGAUAAAACUUGACGCUAAUUCCUAUUUGGGUGAGUUUGAGGAGUAUUUUAAUAAAAGAUCUUUGAAUAUGUGUUUUAAUCAGCAAACGAAUAAUAUUCGAUUAAAGCUGGCAAAAAGACAAAAAGGUAUGUGCCAUAUAUGUAAAUAAUCUUUAAAUAGUAAAUAUGGAGAUAUAUUGUACGAAUUAGAAAUUCACCAUAUCAUACCUGUGGUGAGUGGAGGUAAAAAUAUAUUAAAAAAUAUGACUCUUCUUCAUAAAACGUGUCAUCGCGACAGAUAAAGACGAAUGAGAUAAUUAUACUUAAGGAACUCGGCAAAUUUGCUCCGUACGUUCGCAACAAGGAGUACCUUAAAGGAUUCAAAAAUUAGGGGUAGCGACUGUUUAACAAAAACUCAAAACUUUGCAAAUUCGAAAGAAGACGUAUAAGGUUUGACGCCUGCCCAGUGCUUGAAAGCGAAAAAUACACGUUAACGCUUGUAUCAUAAACUCAAGUAAACGGCGGUCUUAACUAUAAGGAUCCUCAGGUAGCGAAAUUCCUUGGCGGGUAAAUUCCGUCCUGCAUGAAUGGCGUCACGACUACCCCACUGUCUCUAGUAUAAACUCAGCGAAAUUACAUUGUCUGUGAAAAUGCAGACAUCCUACAACAAGACGGAAAGACCCUAUGAUUCUUAACUAUAAUUUUACGUCGCAAUAAUUUUGUGUACAGUACAGUAAAAGUAGGAGUAUACUUAUACAAUUUUGAAAAACUACUCUGUACAUAAGAAAUUGCUUACUGAAGAGAAAAUAUGUAAAAGUGGUAGUUUACUUGGGACGAGGACCUCCUAAACUGUAACGGAGGUGCACAAAAGUAAAUUUUAAUUAGUUUUUUGUAUUAAUAAAAUAUGUAAUGGUAAAAAUUUGCUUGACGGUAAGAGUUACAACUCAAACCGGGACGAAAGUCGGUCAUAAUGAUCCGGCAGUAAUGUAUGGAAAUACUGUCGCUUAUCGGAAAAAAGAAACUCUAGGGAUAACAGAUUUAUCAUGGCUGAGAGUUCUUAUCGACGCCAUGGUUUGAUACCUCGAUGUCGGCUCAUCUUUUCCUGGAGCUGUAACAGGUUCCAAGGGUAUGGUUGUUCGCCAAAUAAUAAGAUACGUGAGCUGGGUUCAGAACGUCGUGAGACAGUUCGGUCCCUAUCUGUUGUGGGUAAGAAAAAACUAGAUUUAUCUUUAGUACGAGAGGAUUAAGAUAUAUUAACCAAUAGUGUAUCGGUUGUAUUGUUUCUUGCAUUGCCGAGUAGCCACGUUAACAUUAUAUAAGUGCUGACAGCUUAAAAGCACAAAAAUAAUCUUUAUUUUUUCAAGAACUUUCUAGAAGAUUACUAGAUAGAUCGGUUUAUUAUUUAAUACUUGUAAAAGUAAGUAAAUAAAUACGAAAAGUUCAUUAUAAUUUGUGUU
This 2012-nucleotide ribosomal RNA is filed under the name Pyropia haitanensis. Its description in RNAcentral is "bacterial LSU rRNA". The stretch from base 756 to 2012 matches the Rfam family "Bacterial large subunit ribosomal RNA". The record is from RNAcentral. Lineage: Eukaryota; Rhodophyta; Bangiophyceae; Bangiales; Bangiaceae.